This 450-nucleotide ribosomal RNA is filed under the name uncultured bacterium. RNAcentral's name for it is "partial 16S ribosomal RNA". It matches the Rfam family "Bacterial small subunit ribosomal RNA", at positions 354 to 796 of the family's 1533-position model. The record is from RNAcentral.
GUGGGGAAUAUUCCGCAAUGGACGAAAGUCUGACGGAGCAACGCCGCGUGAGUGAUGAAGGUUUUCGGACUGUAAAGCUCUGUUGUUUAGGACGAAAGUGCCUGUUGCAAAUAGUUACAGGUAUUGACGGUACUGAACGAGGAAGCCACGGCUAACUACGUGCCAGCAGCCGCGGUAAUACGUAGGUGGCAAGCGUUGUCCGGACUUAUUGGGCGUAAAGAGCAUGUAGGCGGGAAUCUAAGUCUGAUGUGAAAAUGCGGGGCUCAACCCCGUAUUGCGAUGGAAACUGGGUUUCUAGAGUGCAGGAGAGGAAAGGGGAAUUCCCAGUGUAGCGGUGAAAUGCGUAGAUAUUGGGAGGAACACCAGUGGCGAAGGCGCCUUUCUGGACUGUGUCUGACGCUGAGAUGCGAAAGCCAGGGUAGCGAACGGGAUUAGAAACCCUAGUAGUCC